Molecule: ribosomal RNA, 477 nt
Filed under: uncultured organism
Description: partial 16S ribosomal RNA
Rfam family: Bacterial small subunit ribosomal RNA
Source: RNAcentral
ACACUCCUACGGGAGGCAGCAGUGGGGAAUUUUGGACAAUGGGCGAAAGCCUGAUCCAGCCAUGCCGCGUGCAGGAUGAAGGCCUUCGGGUUGUAAACUGCUUUUGUACGGAACGAAACGGCCUUUUCUAAUAAAGAGGGCUAAUGACGGUACCGUAAGAAUAAGCACCGGCUAACUACGUGCCAGCAGCCGCGGUAAUACGUAGGGUGCAAGCGUUAAUCGGAAUUACUGGGCGUAAAGCGUGCGCAGGCGGUUAUGUAAGACAGUUGUGAAAUCCCCGGGCUCAACCUGGGAACUGCAUCUGUGACUGCAUAGCUAGAGUACGGUAGAGGGGGAUGGAAUUCCGCGUGUAGCAGUGAAAUGCGUAGAUAUGCGGAGGAACACCGAUGGCGAAGGCAAUCCCCUGGACCUGUACUGACGCUCAUGCACGAAAGCGUGGGGAGCAAACAGGAUUAGAAACCCCGGUAGUCCCAUGAU